GUCUCGGUGUCUCGCUAGGAGUCUCUCCUCAAGAGCUCAAGAGGGGGUUGAUCCAUCCUCAAAAUAAAUACCACAUAAAACUCUGAAUGACUUUGUUGUGUGUCAUUUGUGCCUGCUGUUACACUA
Molecule: long non-coding RNA, 126 nt
Organism: Strongylocentrotus purpuratus (purple sea urchin)
Lineage: Eukaryota; Metazoa; Echinodermata; Echinoidea; Camarodonta; Strongylocentrotidae
Exons: 2
Source: RefSeq, a predicted model, not a curated record